GUCUGGGUUCCUGAUUUGUAUCUGUUACCCUUCAUGGAAAUGGCUGGUGAAGCAAAACUAUGUGUGUAAAACUGCAUCUGCCACAGGCUGCUUGUCCACAAAAGCAGCAAAGCAUCUCUAUGGAAUACCUCCGUAUGGAUCUGUAAAGAAGAGUCCCACUUCAGUCAAAGACAGUAGAUUAUGAGGUGAAGAACUGACCAGCGAUGAUCGGCCAGAAGACUGUGGCGUUUCAAAAUCAGAUAAGUAAGAAUAAUGGUGUUUGCCUGCCUUUCUUUCUUGAUCAGUACCUGGACUUCCUGCUCUUUCCCCCAUUGUUUUGAAAAAUGGUCUCUAUUCACAUAAUUUCACAGAUUAUUUUCUCCAGAGGAGACUAUGACAAUACUGAAAAACAUUUUCACAGUCUUCAGAUCCUGAUAAUAUUCAUUUCUGUGCAAUCUAUUUUCUCCACAAUGUAUUUGUAGACCACAAUUCACAUUGGCAUCCAGAAGAUAAACUUUUUUGCCCUGAAAUUAAGGAAGGGGAAAGGAGACUUAUCAUACAGUCUCUACAGUUUCUACAGUUAAUUACAAUGAAAGACACUAAAAGCAAAAUAAUA
This 595-nucleotide long non-coding RNA is filed under the name Homo sapiens (human). RNAcentral describes it as "HSALNT0108921". Lineage: Eukaryota; Metazoa; Chordata; Mammalia; Primates; Hominidae. The record is from RNAcentral.